Molecule: long non-coding RNA, 1663 nt
Filed under: Heterocephalus glaber (naked mole-rat)
Lineage: Eukaryota; Metazoa; Chordata; Mammalia; Rodentia; Bathyergidae
Description: lncRNA (ENSHGLG00100035728.1)
Source: RNAcentral
CGGGGAUCGAACUCAGGUCCUUGCGCUUGAGCAGCAGGCAGCGAAACCACUGAGCUAAAUCCCCGGCCCAAAGAGAGGCUUUCUUAUCUCACCUCCACACAUCUGUUCUCCUGUGUGAAACUGUUUAAGUCACACGGCACCGUCUGGCAGUCGCCAUGCGCGCACGUGCUGAGCCCAGACAGCCAUCCCUCCGCUGUCCUCUCCCAAGGCUGCAUAAACUGCGUUUCACCUCCACUGCAGAGGGCAGAGGCGAAGGCCACAGUGGGCCACAGAAACUGGUGCUCUGAACCAGCAGGGAUUACCUCGGGGAGGUUCACCAAGAUUUCGCUAAGGACAGAACUUGAGCCUCGGCACACCAGUGUGAACCUAUUCCCAACAAUGGAGUUGGCUGGAGACUCUGGAAAUCCAGGCUUUGCACUGUGAUCUGCCUUAUGAAGACUCUGAAUGCUGUGGUCUCAUCAGGAUGCAGGAGAUGGGCCAGCACUUAACAGAGAGGAGUCUGCUCUGUCUCUAGUCAGCACUUUCCUUGGUUACAGUUAAGAAAUGGGUGAGACUGAUUUGUAGAAUUUAUUCCAGUGAAAAUGCUAGCAUUAGUUUUGGAGCAAGCAGGAGUUUUGAAGAGAACCAUGUUCUUCCCUGGCAGGGCCAAAGCAUCAGUGAUGCUUCUGUAAUGAAGCAGCUGGAGUGAGACUCCAGAUCUCAGGCUGAGAAGCCCUAACAAGUUUUUUCUACUUGCCCCAAACCUUCAGGAGCACAUUGGCUUGCCACAGCCCAGCUUCAUUGGGAUCCUCAGCUCCACAUGCCUCCCUCAGCGUGAUUCCAGCACUGCCUACCUUGAGGGGAUGCAGAGGGAUCCCCACACAGGAGUGUGGCAUUUCACUGCCCCUGGCUGCUUUAGAAAGAGGUAUCAAGUCAGGCGUGGAGCCAAGUGCCUGUGAUCCCAGCACUCUGGGAGGCUGAGGCAGGACAAGUUCCAGUCCAGCCUGGGAAACUUGAGUCACUUAGCAAGACCUAAUUCUAAAAAAGGGGGGAGGGGGCUGGAGAUGUAGCUUAGUGGGAAGGCCCGCCGGGUGCAACAUUCACUAGGAAGGGAAAAAAAAAUGUGGUGUCAGGCAGCAAGUACAGAGCCUCACAGGCAGGUGGGGCUGCUCAGCUCCCCCACGUGGUGCAAGCCCUGGUCUGCUCAGGUGGCUUCCAGGAAGGACCCUGAUGUGCGAAGCACCAGUGUGUGCUCUGUGGGGCAGUGGCUCCUGGAGGGAGGGCACUGGCAGCAACAGAGCUCCAAACUCUGGUGCAUGAAAUACAAAGAAAACAGCAGCACUGGUGACAACACAUUUAUUUAUGUACCCUGUUGUGUAACUGGGAGGUGCUUUUCAUUUUCCAAUCGAUCAGUCAAAACAAUUAAAUUCCAGAAGGUAAACUAGUGUUUUAUUGUUGCUCAUAAGCACAGGUAAACAAACGGCAGCACAGCAAGGAAUGCUAGACACGUCUCAACUUUUGGUGGUUUAGGUAUGGUCCGCCAGGCUUUGGCAACAUAUCUGAUACAGAGGUUACUGCUAAGAUUCCAAACCUCAUGGUUUCCUUCAGACACAACAGGAAAACUUUGGACGUAACUUCUGAAUUUCAGAAAUUGAACCAAGAUUCUUGGAAAGUUGCAAGAGGC